CAACGCCACUUCAGAAAAAAAGAAAAAUUAAACACAGCAAUGCUGUAUUCAUCAACAAUGAUAAGGUAUCAAGUUCAAUCAAGUUUACAUUCAAACACAGGUAUCUGCAAAACAAACCUUUCCAUACAAUGCUCUUGCAGAUGCUAAUGAAUGUGUUAAAGACUAAAAGAAUCUCAGACAAUAACAGUUGUUCCUACAUGAAAACCACUACAGUGAACCAAGUAAGAAAUAACGAAAUUCCUAAUUGAAGAGAUGAUCGCAGGCCUUCUUAGUUCAUCCUAAUAUGCAUAUUCAUGGCUCCCAAUGACUAUAAAAGCAACGGAAUUCGAUUGAGUUUGCCAUUCUCUACGUAUUACAUUACAAAAUACAACAAGGAAAAAAAAAAAAAGA
RNAcentral lists this unclassified non-coding RNA (390 nucleotides) under Hevea brasiliensis (rubber tree). Lineage: Eukaryota; Viridiplantae; Streptophyta; Magnoliopsida; Malpighiales; Euphorbiaceae. The record is from RNAcentral.